Molecule: long non-coding RNA, 2923 nt
Organism: Aquila chrysaetos chrysaetos
Lineage: Eukaryota; Metazoa; Chordata; Aves; Accipitriformes; Accipitridae
Exons: 3
Source: RefSeq, a predicted model, not a curated record
GAGGGGGCUGAGGGGGCGGGUGAUGGCGGCGGCGGCGGGCUGCGAGGCGUGAGGGGCUGCCAGGGUACCGCUCCGCCGCUGAGGAGAUUUGUCGGCCGGCGGGGAGGCGGUUCAAGCCCUCAGAGGACGCCGAGCCCCGGGCGGGAACAGCCCUGCCUGGGCGACGGCGGCGGGAAUGUGGCGGAUAAAAUGGAUCUGUCUCCUGGGCGGUUGUAAAGUGAGGUAAAAGACUGUAGCGGGUGUGGUGGGAGGCCAGCCCAGUGACCGAGUCAGCACACGGAGGUUUAACAGGAGGUGCUUAAACCAGCCCGUCAGCCAAUUUGUGUCCUGGCAGGGCUCGGACGGCGCUGGAAUUGCGGGGUUGUCUUCGCCGUCCCGGUGCCGAGGCCGUAGCUGUCGUCUCCGCAGAUGUCCGGCAUCUGCCGUGGUGGAGACUGAGCUACCGGUGUAUUUGGAUCAUCUUUAAAAAAAGACCUACAACCUUACCUCUAGCCUCGCGCUGAAGUGAAUGAGCCGGCGUAAACAACUUGGCGUUUACACCAGAAUGAGGAGACGCGCACGGUUCUCCUGUCUGCACGGAGAAGAAAUCGGUUUCUUCAUUGUGGUUUCAAACUCUUCUCGAAGUCACAGGAAACGGCACAAGUGGAAGUAAUAUCAGCAAGGCUUGUCUCCCAGCACACCAGUUGAUGCUGCGAAUGUCCUUAAAUCCUGAAGCUCAGAGCUGCAAAUCAAAGCAAAGCUGAGGAGGCAGCUGUGACGGAAGGAUUGCAUAAGGGGCUUAGCCUGAGGCUGCUUGUGGCUGCAGCAGCUCAGAGGAGAGCAGCUUUACCUUUGCCUCCAUCUAAAUGGAUGCCCAGCGCCCAAGACCAUGUCCAGGAAUGACCCAGGAUGCCCAGCGCCCAAGACCAUGUCCAGGAAUGACCCAGGCUCCCAAAAGCCACGUCCUUCUGCAAGAACUAAAUUCUCAUGUGCUCACACACCUCACUUUAAAAAAUGGGGCUGAGCUCCUAUGGCACUUACAGUCUCACAGAAACUGCGUGUUCAGCCUCCUAGUCCUGCCUGCAAUGUGAGCUUUUUGCUUUUUCUCCUUAAUUUCAGGACACUGAUGUCUGCUGAUUUCUACUAGUUGUUCUGCGACAUGUAACUGGGAUGAAAUCAAUGUGCUUCUAAAAAUUACUCCAAGAACUAUGUUAAUAACAGGGCAGGAUUUCCAACCUAUACCCAGAAUGGUCUGCUUUUACCACAACAUACCAUCCUAUGGGAAGGAUGUAAUUCUCUAUUAAAACCUUUAAAGUAGUUUUCUCUAAGGAACUAAUCACAUGUAUUUGUAGCUGAAUAUGUUUUCUUGCUUAUGAAGAGAAUAGGCUUGCAAAGAGCUGCAGAAAAGGCCUUUGAUGCAACAUAAUUUUUCUUUCCCCUGCAAGUACUGUACUGGCGUGCAGUGACAGGUCAGCAGAAUUAUUUUGUAUCUUACAUACUUCUUUAUUUUGCAACUUCCAGGAUGCACUGAUAUCCUCCAACAAAAAAAACCGGCCAAAUACAGAUGACUAGACUUGACUGUCUUGGUAUUUGUGAACUAAAAAUCAAACUAAAUUCAAACAAAUUCUCUCUUGUAGCAUUCUUUAAAGAAGGGGUAGGGAUGGGUGCACAAAUUAGCCCUUACUUGCCUGCUCUGCAGUUUGGUUUUCAAGCUUCCAGAAGCCAAACCUCACCUUUCCCUCUGAAAUGGUAAAGUUUUAAAACUACUUUAAACAGCAUAAAUAUUUAGAAAGCCUUUUUUUUCAUGGCAUUUCAAGGUACAGUGAGGGGCCCUGCAUACGGUGAAGUGCCUUAAGUCACCAAUGCCAUCAUCUUGGAAUUGGCUGGACCUUUAUGUAAAUGUGAUUUAACACUAUCUAAGUGGUUUCAGUCUGUCAUUGAUUUGUUCCUGGCAGUACUUCUGGAGCCUGGUUCUCCUCAUAUGUACUAGCAAAAAUCAGGAGGAGGUAAUGAAGUCAGAGGCGCUGUGUAAUGUAUAAAAUGGGCCGCUGACUUUCAAUGUCAGCAAUUCCUUAAACUGUAAUAGUAUUAGAAACUAUUCUAAGAAUAAUUCUUUGUGCUCUUGUAUGCUUCUGCAGAGUGUCAGGCUAUGUUCAGUGCUACUCAAAUUAGAAUUUAUUUUUUUAAAUGAUUCCCCCCCCCCCCCAGAAAAAAAACAUUCUUCCAUUUUUAUCUCCAGGAAAAAGAAGUGGGAGUUACAAAGGCGAGCAAGUCGAUCAUUUUUUCCUCAAGAUCAACAAAACUGAUCGUUUCACUUAGAGUUCUUUUUUCUAACACAGAGAGCAGAAGCUGGUCUCAGCUGGACCCGUACCGGGUUUGGUUCACCCUGCUGCCAGAGCGUGGGGAGCAGCUACGACGCCAGGCCAGGAGGAGCAGGAGGACCAGGCUAUAGGGCAGCGCAAAGCUGGGUCAGGCGAACAGAGUCACAAAGCAACAACCUUAGGUGCUUCAAACCAUCGUUGGGGGCCCAUCAGCUGGGUGUUGCGGGUGAAUUCAGCCUGCACCCUCCUCCAUGUCAUGUCUUCCCAUCAGCAAAGUGGAUAGCACUGUACACCAUCAUCAUGUAAUAUCUUAGAGACUGCGAGGCCCCCGGAUACUGAGCAAUGGGAUUUCUCUGCUGAAAAAUAUACCUUAUGUUCACUUGUUGUGAAGCAGACACUGGGUUUGUGUAAAGAGCUGCAGAGCAGCUGCAAAGGAUGGAGUUACCACCCGUGCCCGUGGCCAGGCAGCUGGCACACUGUGACCAGUGCAGCCUGAAUCUGGCUUCUUGUCUCAGCCAUCGCUGCUCUGAGACAUAACGGAGCAGUGUGGUGGUGGUGAUGGUGGCGGUGACGGUAGCCAGCUCCAAAUCCCACUUCUGAUUCCCCCUCCACUGAAGUCAGAC